AACUUUUAGAGAUAAAAGCUAAUACUUUAUAUGCCAUUGGUGAAAGAAGAAAUUCGCCUAAAGAGGAGCUCGCGUCUGAUUAGCUAGUUGGUGGGGUAAGAGCCUACCAAGGCGACGAUCAGUAGCUGGUUUGAGAGGAUGAUCAGCCACAUUGGAACUGAGACACGGUCCAGACUCCUACGGGAGGCAGCAGUAAGGAAUAUUCUGCAAUGGGCGCAAGCCUGACAGAGCAAUACCGCGUGAGGGACGACUGCCUACGGGUUGUAAACCUCUUUUCUCAAGGAGGAAGAACUGACGUUACUUGAGGAAUAAGCAACGGCUAACCCUGUGCCAGCAGCCGCGGUAAUACAGGGGUUGCAAGUUUUAUUCGGAAUCAUUGGGCGUAAAGCGUCUGCAGGUUGACAUAAAAGUCUUUUGUUAAAUAUCAGAGCUC
Molecule: ribosomal RNA, 433 nt
Filed under: eukaryote SCGC AAA074-D19
Lineage: Eukaryota
Description: bacterial SSU rRNA
Rfam family: Bacterial small subunit ribosomal RNA
Source: RNAcentral